RNAcentral lists this ribosomal RNA (253 nucleotides) under uncultured bacterium. RNAcentral describes it as "partial 16S ribosomal RNA". It matches the Rfam family "Bacterial small subunit ribosomal RNA", at positions 524 to 776 of the family's 1533-position model. The record is from RNAcentral.
UACAGAGGGGGCAAGCGUUAUUCGGAAUUAUUGGGCGUAAAGGGCGCGUAGGCGGCUUUGCAAGUGGCGGGUGAAAUCCCCCGGCUUAACCGAGGAACUGCCUGUCAAACUGCAUGGCUUGAGACCAGGAGAGGGGAGUGGAAUUCCCAGUGUAGCGGUGAAAUGCGUAGAUAUUGGGAGGAACACCAGUGGCGAAGGCGGCUCACUGGACUGGUACUGACGCUGAUGCGCGAAAGCGUGGGGAGCAAACAGG